Molecule: ribosomal RNA, 301 nt
Filed under: uncultured bacterium
Lineage: Bacteria
Description: partial 16S ribosomal RNA
Rfam family: Bacterial small subunit ribosomal RNA
Source: RNAcentral
CAGCAGCCGCGGGAAUACGAAGGGUGCAAGCGUUAAUCGGAAUUACUGGGCGUAAAGCGUGCGUAGGCGGUUUGUUAAGUCUGCUGUGAAAUCCCCGGGCUCAACCUGGGAAUGGCAGUGGAUACUGGCAAGCUAGAGUGUGUCAGAGGAUGGUGGAAUUCCCGGUGUAGCGGUGAAAUGCGUAGAGAUCGGAAGGAACAUCUGUGGCGAAGGCGACUAUCUGGGCCAACACUGACACUGAGGCACGAAAGCGUGGGGAGCAAACAGGAUUAGAUACCCCUGUAGUCCCUGUCUCUUAUAC